RNAcentral lists this ribosomal RNA (406 nucleotides) under uncultured bacterium. RNAcentral describes it as "partial 16S ribosomal RNA". It matches the Rfam family "Bacterial small subunit ribosomal RNA", at positions 29 to 526 of the family's 1533-position model. The record is from RNAcentral.
AUUGAACGCUGGCGGCAGGCUUAACACAUGCAAGUCGAGCGAGAGGCGGACGGGUGAGUAAUGUCUGGGGACCUGCCCGAUAGUGGGGGUUAACUACUGGAAACGGUGGCUAAAACAGCAAAGAAGCGGGAGAAGCACGCUGGGAUUCGCUAGUAGGUGGGGUAAAGGCUCACCUAGGCGGAGAACGCGAGCUGGUCUGAGAGGUUGAACGGCCACAGUGGGACUGGGACACGGCCCAGACUCCUACGUGAGGCAGGAGGGGGGAAUAUUGGACAAUGGGCGCUAGCCUGAUGCAGCCAUGCCUGGUGUAUGAAGAAGGCCUUAGGGUUGUGAAGUGCAUUCAGCUGGGAGGCGUUACCUGCAGAAGAAGCACCGGCUAACUCCGUGCCAGCAGCCGCGGUAAUUC